Cydia splendana is the source of this 556-nucleotide long non-coding RNA. RefSeq lists it as uncharacterized. The record is from RefSeq and is a predicted model, not a curated record. NCBI's taxonomy places the organism in Eukaryota, Metazoa, Arthropoda, Insecta, Lepidoptera, Tortricidae. The transcript is spliced from 3 exons.
AAUGUUUAAAUGAGUGACAGCUUUAUACAAAUUGACUUACAUUAUAACAUGCACGGAUAAUCGUGUUUUCUCAACUGACAAUUCACUUGACAUUGACAAGCAUCGCGUACGCGCAUGAUUCAGUGAAUUUAGUGAAAAUACAAACCAAGUCGAAGAAAAAUACUGAUUUGCUGUGUAAACUAAAGGAAAUGCCACCCAAAAUUCGAUGCUUCGGCGCACAAGAAAAUGCUAGCCAAAUAUAUAACUCAGCAUCCCCUGUUCGCCUACACCUACAGGGAGAUUCAUGAGCCUCUCGGAACCCAGAGAUACAAAAUGCAAUGCUGCACAGUGCACACAAGUUCUAAGAUCUAGAAGAAAGGAUUGAAGAUUCAUAACAUAUUGGAGGCUUGAAAGUGCACAUACCCAUAGAUUGGACGUUAAGCUCAACGAGACCAUGCGAUGCAUCUCAGGCACUAUCCGAUCUACAACCGCCACUGGCUGCCGGCAUUGAGUCACAUUGCCCCUCCUCACAUCCGACGACUCAAGGCGUUGAAGAGGGAGGCUGAGAAUAUCACGA